Molecule: small nuclear RNA, 104 nt
Organism: Delphinapterus leucas (beluga whale)
Lineage: Eukaryota; Metazoa; Chordata; Mammalia; Artiodactyla; Monodontidae
Source: Ensembl
GUGCUCGCUUCGGCAGCACAUAUACUAAAAUUGUAAUGAUACAGAGAUCAGCAUGGCCCGUGUGCAAGGAUGACAUGCAAAUUUGUGAAGCAUUCCAUAUUUUA